This is a long non-coding RNA of Phyllostomus discolor (pale spear-nosed bat), 4245 nucleotides long. RefSeq lists it as uncharacterized. NCBI's taxonomy places the organism in Eukaryota, Metazoa, Chordata, Mammalia, Chiroptera, Phyllostomidae. The transcript has 2 exons. The record is from RefSeq and is a predicted model, not a curated record.
AUCUAGACUUUUUCCUCUUUGUUUUUCCUACCAUAAAUACUGUUGCAAUAACAAAUCAUAUACUAUAUAUUUUUAAACCAUUUCUAGUUGUUUCCUUGGGGUAAAUUUCUGGAAGUAUAUUGCUAGGUUAAAUGGUGCUAUGGGUUGAAUUGUGUCCCACCCCUUCAAAUUCAUGUGUUGAAGUCCUAACUGCCAAUAUGACUGCAUUUGAAGAUAAGGUUUUCAGGAGAUAGCUAAGGUCAAAUGAGGCCAAAAGGGUGGGAACCCAAUCUCAUAGGACUAGUGGUCUUAUAAAAGAAGGAAGAGUGAGAUCUCAUUCUGUAAUGUGAGGACACAGAAAGAAGACAAUUGCCUGCAAGCCAGGAAGAUGGUCCUCCUCAGAACCUGACCAUGCUGGCGCCCUCAUCCCAGGGCUCCAGUCUCCAGAACCUCAGGAAUAUAGACCCCUGCUGUCUAAACCACCCAGUCUAUGAUACUUUGUUAUGGCAGUCCAAGAUAAGACAAGUGGAAUGGUAUUUUGGGGCAUGAUACAUAUUGCACUUAUCACCUUACUCUUACCCAUGGCACAUGGAAUUAUUAAUUUUCCUGUAACUUUACCAACUGUGUUCUUUAUCAUUUGUUAUAAUCAUAUUAGAUAUUAUAUAUAAGAAGAGUAUUUCAUUGUCUUAAUACAUAAAUUUCUAUGGUGUAAAAUGACACAGUCUUGCUGGUUAUACAGUAUCUUUCUGUGGGCCAUAAAAUCCAUUGCAUUUGAUUAAGAAUACUUAAUUGUGAAGUCUACUUAUGAAGUGUCCCAACAUGUCUCCUACAGAAUUUGUAAACGCAUGGCCAAUGUUAUUCAUUUGCUUACUCAACAAGUAUUUAUUGAGAACCUAGCCAGGUCCUGAGGAUACAAUAUAACAACAACAGAAAAGAUCCCUGCCCUGAUAAGAGUUUAUAGUAGGGAAAGGCAUAAAAAAGAAAAAUCAGACAGUAAGUGUACAAUUACAUUUAAGAAGGGUAAAAGUACACAGACAUGAUGCAAUUUAGAUUUCAGGGAAUGAGUCAAUUUGGGAAUGAUACUUAAGUGAGAUGUGAUGGAUGAGCAGCAGUUAUCAGAGGGGUUAUAGGAGGUUCUCCAGAGAGAUGUCUAAUUUUUUCAAAAUGCAAAUUUCAUUAUGUGACUUCUGUUGCUAAUACAGUAAACUUACUUGUUACUCUCCAAAUCCCUCUUCACUAUAAAACACCUAGACACUGAAUAAAUUAUAAUAGGCACACUGUUAAAUGUUGUGCUAUACUUAUAAAAAAGUAAAAAAAAAUAUUCAAAGGGCAGGAAAACAAAAAAAAUGAAUCAGGAGCUGAAACCAAAGAGGGAGUGAAAGUCAACACCAGGCUGCGCUGGAAGCAUAUGUUGAUACCAGGGACACUUCGCAGUUAUGCUCAAGGGAAUCAGCCACAGGGUCAAACACCUAAUGUGCACAGGCCACUGAACCCCAGAUGUCUGUAAAAAAUAGGACUCUUGCAUAGGCUAUAUGAUCAGUGAAAGGAUGGUCUGGAAAGAAUCAAUAAUCUUGCCAUGUGGAGCCAAAACAUCAAUAGACUGGGUGAAAAAGAGUCUUUCCAGAGAAUAUGCACCAUAGGCCUGACCUCAUUGUAUUGGGUACUACUUGUGCAGUCAAGGAAUCUCCAGGAUGAGAAAACAGAGUAGCUCUAGUAGCACUCCUGUCACCAUGUGAAAGCAAAAGCAAAUCUUCUUUAGAGGAAAACACUAAAAUACAAGAACACAAAAAAGCUAAAAGUAUGAAUAAACAUGUAUCAGACAAAUACUCACCAAAAGGAUAACAUUAAUAACUAUCUAAAUAAACUUUAAUGCAAAAUGCACUAUUAGCUAUAGGGAGUCAGAGAUUCUGGCAGAAGCAGAAGGAAGAAAGCCCCACGGCAGGGCAGCUUCACGUCCACCCUGGUCGGAAUCCCACAGAUCAAACAGGAAAACAACUAAGAAGAAUUUAGAGGCUGUGAACCACACAACUCCUGCUUGCCCUACCAAGCCACAGAGUAUGCUUAUUUUUUCAAGAGACACAAAACAUUUACAAUAUUUGACAAAUGCUUUGCCAUGAAGUCUCAGCAAGUUACGAAGGAUCAUCAGUAUAACACAGAUUACAUUCUAUGAACAGAAUGAAGUUAGGUUAAAGAUCAGUUCUCAAGGGGAAAAAAACCCAGAAAAGCUUCACUCUCUUAGAAAUUUAAAAAUGUAUUUAUAAAUAGCUCUAUGUCUAAAAAAAUUAUACUAAAAAGUUACAAUUACUUAGAGUGAAUUUUAGUAAAAUACCACAUACCAAAUUUCUGUAUGUAGUAAAAGCAGUAAUUAGUGGGUACCAAUAACCCUAAGUGCUUAUGUAUUAAAAGAAGAAAAGCUAACUAAUAAUGUCAACUUAAGGAAGUCAGCAAAAAGUAACCCAAGAAAGUAGAAGAAAGGAAUAAUCAAAUUAAAUAUUUAAUGCAAUGGUUGACACAAAACGGGGUACACAGGGAAACUUCUAGGGUGAUGGGACUGUUCAGAAUGACACCAGCAUGGUGAAUACAUGUCUCUGUUGAAAUCCAUAGAACUAUAAGAACUGGAUGGCACAGAACAGGAGCUUUAUGGAACACCUUAAAGGAAACAAACAACACUAUAUCGACCGGGAUGUUGAGGAGUAUCAGGACGGACUGCAUGUUGUCAAAAAUGACACUGAUUGCACUGUAAGACAGAACCUCACUAAAGAGAUUGGUGCCGGGGGGCGGGGGAGAAGCUGUCCUACUCGACUUUGGAAAACAGUGUUUUGAGAGGAAACUGUAAGGCUAAUGACUGAGAGACCUGUGCCCAAACACUGAACUCUAAGUAAAGAGAUGGUGGCUGAGGGUAGCCAGGCUUCUCACUAUGGAAUAGAGAAGUUACUGAUGAGCAAGAAAGGAAGGCUAACAUGAGCUUGGUGGCACUGGGCCAGAGUUGGAGCCGUCAGGAUGAGCUCAUGGGUUAGUACACAUGCAUAUUGCCUAGCUCUGUCCAGUGAAAGGGCCUGCAAGCAACGACAACCCAGUAGCAAUAAGCAUAUCCAUCAUCAUGAUCUUGGUUUCUAAAUACCAUUCUCUAAUAAGAGGAAUUAGAACUUUUUGGAGAAAUGGCUGAUUCCAGGGCUGAUGCAGGGAAAAUACAAAAUAAGAUUGAGCAUGUUUUACUACAAGAAAGAAAGAAAAGUGCUAAUGCCCCCUACCCACCCUCAAAGCAUGGGGCACAUCACAGGGAAUUAGUCUGAAAGAGCUGUCAUAGUAAUGGAUUAUAGCCCAAAGUAUAAGGUAAUUAUAUAAAAACCCAUACUAACAUAAAUGCUUGACUAAAUAAAUAGGGGAAAAGAAACAAAUCUUCCUUGUAGAAGAAUUCCAAAGGAUAUAUGUAGUUAGUCCUCCUACAUGUAUUUAAUGAUAUGUAUUGAAUAUAUAUUUAAUACAUACUUAAUUCCUCUCUCCCCUUGAAUGGGAGUUGCACCUAGUAACUUGCUUCCUAAUAGUAUGGAGAAAGCAAAAUAGUACCUGUACAGUGCAGAAACCUGGCACACACCACCUUAACCUAGUGAUCAAGGUUAACAUGACCAGUGAUGCCCUGUGGAUAGCACUACUCCUUGAAAGAAUGAAAAUAAAGGGUAUUGCAUCUCUUCAAAAUCCCAUAAACCCAGUCUAAGUCAUGAAAAUGUCAGAAAAAUCCAAAUUGAGAAAUGUUUGAAAAAAUACUUGCCCAGUAUUCCUCAAAACUGUCAAGGUCAUGAAAAAUAAGAAAAGGCUGAGAAACUGCCACUGAUCAGAAAAAACACGGUAACAAAAUGCAAUGCGGUAUCCCAAGUUGAAUACUGGAACACAAGAAAAGGACAUUAAUUUAAAAUAUGGACUGGUGAAAUCUUAAUACGAAUUUGUGGUUAGUCCACAGUACCGUGCCAGUGCCAGCCUCUCGGCAUUGACAACUGUGCCAUGGUAACGUAUGAUGACAACAUUAGAGGAGAAAACACAAAACUCUCUGUAGUAGCUUUGCAGUUUUUCUGUAAGUCUAAAAUUACUCUAAAUGAAAAAGUUAUUUAAAACAUUAAUGAACUAGAAAUCAAAUGAACAAGAGAGUUCAACAAAGCCGAAGUUGUUUCUUUGAAAGUUUACAAUUUCUGGUAAGGUGGAUUGAAGAGGAAAAGAGAAGGUAAAUAUAAAUAAUAUCAGAAUGAAAAAGGGGGAAUAUUUGCAAAUAGA